AAGUGGGCACCGGAUAGCGCCAGCCCCGCCCAGAGAGCGAAAUCAUGGAGCCUUCCAAGACCUUCAUGAGAAACCUGCCAAUCACACCAGGCUACAGCGGCUUCGUGCCGUUCCUUAGCUGCCAAGGAACAUCCAGGGAGGAUGACAUGAACCACUGUGUGAAAACCUUCCAGGAGAAAACACAGCGCUAUAAAGACCAGCUGCGGGAAUUUUGCUACGCAGUGGCCACUGCCCCGAAACUGAAGCCUGUCAACUCCGAGGAGACGGUCCUGCGGGCCCUGCAUCAGUACAGUCGGCAGUACCACCCCCUGAUCCUGGGUAGCAGCGCCCUGAAACCAUUUCCCCUCAUCCCUGGUCACCCGUGCAGAUUCUCAUAGGCCAGCUGAGCUGCCCUAGAGCACCCAGAAUCCCGCACAGUUCCAAAUUCCAGGGGUCAGCGCCAAAUGCAAAGGCUCCAUUUCUUAAAAUGAGAAAGAUACAUUUCUUUUUCCUUUUUUUCUUUUUCUUUUUUUUUUGGAGACAGAGUCUCAUGCUGUUGCCCAGGCUAGAGUGCAGUGGUGCAAUCUUGGCUCACUGCAACCUCUGCCUCCUGGGUUCAAGCGAUUCUCCUGCCUCAGCGUCAGCCAAGUAGCUGGGACUACAGGUGCAUGCCACCAUGCCCGGCUGAUUUUUGUAUUUUUAGUAGAGAUGGGGUUUCACCAUGUUGCCAAGGGUGGUCUCGAAUUCCUGACCUCAGGUGAUCUGCCCGCCUCGGCCUCCCAAAGUGCUGGGAUUACAGGCAUGAGCCACAGAGGCUGGCCAGAAAGAAACAUUUCUAGGGGAGGAAACACAGUCCUGGUUAGGGAAGAGGGUGCUGGUCUGAGAACUAGGAGACCCUAGGCAAGUCACAAGUUUUCAGGCCUCAGCUUCUGGAUCAGUGGAAAACAUUUUUUAGUUGCUUUCUCUGUGCCACGGUGUCUUUUUACAGAAUGCAAAUAUGUAAAGAAACCUCUCCAGGAGCCCCCAAUCCCUGGCUGGGCAGGCUACCUGCCGAGAGCCAAGGUCACUGAAUUUGGCUGUGGCACAAGAUACACUGUCAUGGCCAAAAACUGCUACAAGGACUUCCUGGAGAUCACGGAGAGGGCCAAGAAAGCACAUCUGAAACCAUAUGAAGAAAUAUACGGAGUUAGCUCCACAAAAACUUCUGCUCUGUCUCCAAAAGUUUUGCAGCAUGAAGAGCUGCUGCCAAAAUAUCCUGAUUUUUCUAUUCCAGAUGGAAGCUGCCCUGCCCUUGGAAGGCCCCUGAGAGAGGACCCCAAAACUCCGCUGACAUGUGGCUGUGCUCAGAGGCCAAGUAUACCAUGCAGUGGGAAGAUUUAUCUAGAGCCACUGUCCUCCGCAAAGUAUGCAGAAGGCUAGAAGCGCAGAGUCUCCCAAGGAGGUGAACUUUAAGUGGGGCUUCCAAAACCUGCCGUUCUCAUGUUGGAAUUACGCCCAGUGAGCAAUAAAGAAACUUAAUAACAAGAAUUUUUUAACUGC
This 1518-nucleotide small RNA is filed under the name Pongo abelii (Sumatran orangutan). Its description in RNAcentral is "retained intron". The record is from RNAcentral. Lineage: Eukaryota; Metazoa; Chordata; Mammalia; Primates; Hominidae.